Entelurus aequoreus (snake pipefish) is the source of this 537-nucleotide long non-coding RNA. RefSeq lists it as uncharacterized. The transcript has 3 exons. The record is from RefSeq and is a predicted model, not a curated record. NCBI's taxonomy places the organism in Eukaryota, Metazoa, Chordata, Actinopteri, Syngnathiformes, Syngnathidae.
GGACUGAUGUGGAUCGGACGGGUUUUGUUCACACGCUACAACAUUACACAACCCUUACACGAUGUGUUAUGGGUCACACUCCUGCUGCCUCUCCUCCUGCUGUGUGCGCUGUUGAGCGGGCCACACCAAUGGGCGUUCCUUCUCCGCUGCGGGCGUUCCUCCGCAAGAGAUCUGCAAUUAACACACCUGCCUGUGAUGAGCGACCAGCCUUCAUAAGCCAGCGCGUCUUGAGAUCCGGUUCCAAAACUUAGCUUCUCCUACCAGUACACUUCCUCGUCAUCGAGUUGUGUGCCUCGUCUACCUGGACCCCCUUUGGAUUCCCUCUUGCCUUCCUGGACUAAGACCUCUCCUGUCCUCGACCAUCCGCCUGCCCCCUGACGUCCGAGCCUGCUUUUCCCCUUUUGGACUUCUGCCUGGAUCUCAACAUGCACUCUCAACACCCUCUGGUGACCACGCUCAGAUAAUACUCACACAUAGUCACACUACAUCUCUUUAAGCUAAUCACACACUGCACUCACAUACUGAGCUGUCAAUAAA